Molecule: transfer RNA, 72 nt
Filed under: Lactobacillus gasseri
Lineage: Bacteria; Bacillati; Bacillota; Bacilli; Lactobacillales; Lactobacillaceae
Also listed under: 2 other names
Description: tRNA-Gly
Rfam family: tRNA
About the family: Transfer RNA (tRNA) molecules are approximately 80 nucleotides in length. Their secondary structure includes four short double-helical elements and three loops (D, anti-codon, and T loops).
Source: RNAcentral
UCCCUGGUGGUCCAGUGGUUGAGAUCUGUGCUCCCAAUGCAGGGGGCCCAGGUUCAAUGCCUGGUCAGGGAA